Molecule: non-coding RNA, 72 nt
Filed under: Chromera velia
Lineage: Eukaryota; Chromeraceae
Source: RNAcentral
UUGCAUUUGUGUGCCGAUUCCAUUCUCCGUCUACCUCUCUUCUUUGCUGUCUUUCCCACUCUCAUGAAGAAG